This is a long non-coding RNA of Venturia canescens, 1243 nucleotides long. RefSeq lists it as uncharacterized. The record is from RefSeq and is a predicted model, not a curated record. NCBI's taxonomy places the organism in Eukaryota, Metazoa, Arthropoda, Insecta, Hymenoptera, Ichneumonidae. The transcript is spliced from 2 exons.
CUGCGGCUAAAAUAACAAAACAGGCGAUUCAAGGGUGUUGAGAGUUUCAUUUAACCCGCACACACGAAAAGUCGCUGGCAAUGCCGGGUUAUACGUAUGCGUUCGUGUGUAUUUAUGUGAGGAGCUUCGGUGAGAGCGAGCGAGGGUUGGCGAUUGCGCAGUUCGCUUCGACCGAAGGAGACAUAGCAGGAGGCUGGCUCUCCAGUUUCGCUGCUCGCCAACGCCAAAAUCGCAAAAUAAAAGCAGAUAAGGAAAAAGGUUGACGCAGUGCGCACAAAAUUCUCGUUGCGACAAAUUUUCGAGAAUGCUUCCUCUCCGAACCUCAACUCUUAAUUCGUGCCGGAAAUUAACAGAAUAUAUGUAACGUAUGAGUUUGUAUAUCAAGGAAAUAUAUGACUCCCAAGAAAAUCUUUUGGAAAUUCGGAAAGUUGUUUCUUCCACUUAUUUCCAUAUUUAUUGGUGAUUUGAUCCGUGCAAGAACGUGCCUUUUUUCGUGGAGUGGACGUUCGACGGGAAGGGAUCGAUUUGUGGGGCCAUAAAUAUAACGAAUUAUAUGUGGAUCAUUGUUUCUGGGUCAGUGUUGCGUCUGGAGCUUCGGACUCUGUGGAAGUGUGCGCUCGGAUAAUGGAGAUCAAUGCAGAUAUAGAACAUAACGUUUGCGGGAUCGAAGGGAGAGAACGUACAAUUCUCGUCAAAAGGGGAUUCCCCCUUUUCACGUCCUUGUUACACUUUGCACAAAAGACAAUUACAAAGUCUGACUCGCGAUUUUGCGUGUUUCCACGCGGGAAACCUCAUCGAAAUACUUUAGCUCGGAAAUUCUCCCCCCGAUCUUGAUAACACCUUCUUAGCAAUUUCCACAGAAUACUCAAUAAUACACGUGCUGCGUCGACUCGCUUUCAAUAAUACUUUCGAACGUUUUUUAAACAAUAUUCGGAAUAAUAAGAAUCAAUUUCACACUCAAAUUUAAUCUCUAUCGACGAUACACACUCAAUGACCAUACUCAUGGAAGAAGAUGCAUAACGGAAGAACACCGAUAAAUGUUUCCACUCUUAAUUGCUCUCCGAAGCAUUUUAAAUCGUUGUAAAAAAAAAGAUUCAAUACAAAGUUUGAUUAUACAGUUCUCGAAUGGAUGCGGCUCUCUAAUCCGAGGGGAAAGGAAUUCCGAGUAUAUUCUCGUCAAAUAAUUCACCAAUCGUAAUUGCAAGUUCGGCUGUAUAAAUAAAAUGCUGUUUUUACCUUUGUU